UGGGGAAUAUUGGGGCAAUGGGGCGCAAGCCUGACCCAGCAACGCCGCGUGAAGGAAGAGGGCUUUCGGGUUGUAAACUUCUUUUAUCAGGGACGAAGACAAUGACGGUACCUGAUGAAUAAGCCACGGCUAACUACGUACCAGCAGCCGCGGUAAUACGUAGGUGGCAAGCGUUAUCCGGAUUUACUGGGUGUAAAGGGCGUGUAGGCGGGACUGCAAGUCAGAUGUGAAAACUAUGGGCUCAACCCAUAGCCUGCAUUUGAAACUGUAGUUCUUGAGUGUCGGAGAGGCAAUCGGAAUUCCGUGUGUAGCGGUGAAAUGCGUAGAUAUACGGAGGAACACCAGUG
Molecule: ribosomal RNA, 347 nt
Filed under: uncultured Pseudoflavonifractor sp.
Lineage: Bacteria; Bacillati; Bacillota; Clostridia; Eubacteriales; Oscillospiraceae
Description: bacterial SSU rRNA
Rfam family: Bacterial small subunit ribosomal RNA
Source: RNAcentral